UUUCAUGAUUUUUAAGGUAUGAUAAUCUAUACAUAAUCCAUUUUAAUCAUUCCAUUGUUAAAUGUGACUGUCUUCAUCAUAUUUACUAAAGCAUACCAGUUUGUAAUGUAAAUUUAAUACGAAAUUGAAUGACGCCUACAUUACACACACAUUUAACCUUGUAUGUGUUCAGAGAUCUAGAUUUGCCAUAGCUAAUCUGUACUAUAGCUAGAUAAUAUGAUAUUUACCAACUAUCUAUAAUUAUUUAUUUCACUUCAGAAAGAAUCAAUGGGUCACCCACACGCCCUUUUUUUGAAAAAGAAUUGCCCUUUUAAAAGAGUGAUAUGCAACCACUUCAACAUUAUAAACUAAUAUGAGAAACUCAUUGAUAUGAAAAUGCAACCAAUUUUAAAUUAAUAAUAUUUUGUAAGGUAGACCUAUCCGGUCUUAUAAUGAUCGAAUUGACCUUUAUGUACUAAAAUAGAGAGGCCGGUCAUAUCAACUGCAUACCAAAAAGUAAAACAAAAAAAUAGCGAACUCCAAAGAACUCACUGCUUUCGUUUGUUAUUAAGUUGGAAUGGUAAUAGUUCAUUUUGUUAUUUUCUUUGGUUAUAUCUUCUGACAUACUCGGACUUCAGUUAAGUGCGUACGUUUACUUUUCUACAUUGGCUGAAGGUAUAGGGGAGGGUCUCACCAUGUUUAACCCCGCCGCAUUUUGCAAGUCAAGCCUCUGGCCUUUGUUAGUCUUGUAUUAUUUUAAUUUUAGUUCACAAUUUGGAAAUUAUGUAUGGCGUUCAUUAUCACUGAACUAGUAUAUAUUUGUUUAGGGGCCAGUUGAAGGACGCCUCCGGGUACGGGAAUGUCUCGCUACAUUGAAGACCUGUUGGUGACCUUCUGCUGUUGUUUUUUUCUAUGGUCGGGUUGUUGUCUCCUUGGCACAUUCCCCAUUUCCAUUCUCAAUUUCAAUUUCAGUUAAGACACACAAUGUCUACCAUGCAAACCAUGCAUAACCUUGAACUUCAGCUUCAUCGCAAAAUUUCCUAAUGGCCAGAUUUGAUUAUUUAUCAAUGGAUCUAUUUCAAAUGAUUUACUUCCUUGUAAAAAGAAAUUCCUCGGUACGCGUACAUUUUUGGCUACAAAAUCAAAAUACGAUGAUUGUGUGCAUUUUCGGACAUUAAAGCUGAUUGAAUACUUUUGCCUCUACCUAGGAUACGAAUGGUCUGUUACAAAUAUUUGCUAAUAAUGAUGAGAAUGAAUCCCUAGACACAAUAACGUUCUGGAUUUUUGAUGGCGGAUAAAGUAAAAUAUGCUAAAAAAGGUUAAGAAUUAUUGAAAAUCAACAGUGUUAAAAUAAUCAAGACAUCGUCAUAUUUAAAAUGAUGUGUAAAACUUAAGUUAUUUUGUAAUAUCAUAACAAUUUCUUUGUCCUGUUUGUAGUAUUAUGGCCUGAUUAAAAAAAAACAUUCAAAAUCUUAGGACCAAUUUUGACCAUUCGUGAACUUACACCUUUUUAAAGAAUGUGAAACUUUACUUUUAUAAUAAAAAAGUACUGAUUUAUAAAGAUUUAGAACUUUUUUUUUAAAACCUGUUAGAUUUGUAAAAAUAUUUUAACUGGUUUAGUUUGCAGUUUGAUGGUCAAUUCAAUUACUGUGAACGUGUGUGUGAAAAGAGGGAACAUAUAUACCAGAGGGACAAUCAAAUUAAUCCAUUUUCAGAUAAACAGAAUAUAAUUAUAAAUGUUAAAGGCAGUCAGAUUAGGGAACUUAAAAAGAAUGUCAUUGUGACCUCUUUAGAAUGAGAUUCUAGAAAGCGGGUGCUUAAUGGUCGUUAUUUUUAUUCUUUCAGCCAUAUUUUCUUUCUUUCAUUAUUUCGCCCAUCAAUUUAUAAUUCGUUGCCAUAUCCAGACUCUGAAGUGUAAAACAUAUUGUUUUGAUCUAUUUAUUUUAAAAAAUCGAUCAUUCCAGAACUUGUUCAAACUGAACUUUUAAUAAAGAAUAAGAAAAACUGAUUUAUGACAAUUCAUAAAAUUAAUAUAUUUAUAUUGUUUAUACACAAAAGAAGAUUUAUUUGACAUUGUCGGAUAAUAUUUUUAAUUUCAGAUUUAGAGUUGCUACACCAGUCUUGAUAAUCUAAUAAUAAAUAGAUCCUACAAUUUUAAUGCGUUUUUUUGAUCGGGUUUCAUUACUACAUAUUUGACAUAGAUAAUCUACUACUUGAGUAUUUAUACAAAAUAAACUCUUUUUUGGCAUUUAACUGUACUAUAUUGCGCUGCACAGAUGCGCAUUUCGACCAUAAAUGCCUCUUCGGUGAUGAACAAGGCUAGAUAUUUGAAAGUUCCAUAUCUUAUUAAACAUGUCGAACAAAUAAAAAAAAAAAAAAAAACAAAAACAACAUAUUAGUAUCGUAAUAGAUUACUGGUCUAGCAGUUCAUUAGCCGAGUAUUCUACCUAGUUUGUGCAAUAAAAUAUGUGGUCGGUCCUAAUUUCUCUUCAAGAUGCUCAUUUUGAUCGCUAUUGUCCUUUUAGUGAUGCCAAAAGUCAAAAUAUUUUUAAUUCAAAAAUUAUUAAACAAAAGAAGAGCUUAAAAAAGAAAAAAAUAAUAAUGAAUGUGGCCAAAACCCGACAAACAACCUGAGCCAUAAAUAAGUUAGUAAUGACUUCUGAAUUAAUAUUAUUCAUUAUUUGUGUUGAAAUUCAGUUUGGACCAAUGUUUAACCAAAAGUUUGUUUUGCGUAAUUCAUUUUAGCUGCAACCCCUGCAGCAGAUAAUAACUGUGUCUACGAAUCUAUUAUAAUUAUUGACUCCUUUUUGGUUAUUUGACAUAAUAGAUCGUAGAUUGCAGCUUAAGAUUUCCUUAAGAUUAAAUGUCGUUAAAAGCACACAGUUUCGACAAUACUUAUACAUCCAAAUUGUGGGUUAUGGAGCCUUCGAUGUUCACUUAUAAAACAAUCAUUUGUUCCCUAGCACUUGGGCCUUUGGAAUAGAUCAAUUUAAGAACCUUUUAAUUUUUUUAUUAUUAUAAUUAUGUUGAAAGGAAAAGGCAAUAUUUGGCAAACAUAGAUCACGUCCUUCGCUCUUAACACUAGCUCAACAUUUUCAAUAAGUGUCGACUGAAGGGAAACAACCCAAACAAAUAAGUCGGUAAUAUUGGGACAAUAACGGAAAUGUCCAAUAACAUAUAUUGAGUAAUCCACGAAUAUGAACGUAGAUAACAAAAUUUUCCCGGUUUAUGUCCGAAUCGGGGGAUAUUCAGGGAGAAAAAAGGUGUUACGUGAAAGCAACUUUUUAGAAAAUUUUAAAAAAAAUGUUAUUAUUAAUUUUACAAUUCCACAUUUCUUUUACCGUAUGUAAGGUAACCCUACAUAUAUUUAAAUAUAGUCUUAGACGGCGGAAAAUCAACGUGGGUAAUUUGCAUAACUAGGUCAGUAGUCCCAUAAUUAACGACAUUGUAUACACUGAUAAUAUCGUUAGUUGUUUACAUAUUUGAUGAAAAAAACCAACAACAUCAUAAAUAAUCUACAGAAAUCAAGUUUGCACAUAUAACAACUACUGGACAAAACAAAAAAGGCAUGAACCGUUGGUAGUGGGGUGCAACAAACCCGUGGCAUAUUUUUUUAACGACCUGUCAUUAUCCAAUCGAAAUCCGUGAACUAUGACAAGCCGAGCAUAAUCAUCCAAAUGAAAAAAAUAUAUCAUAUUAUUCACAUUUUGUUUGUUAAGUUACAACUACAGUGUCACCCAUUUGUAAAAUUCAAGACUCAUUUGUUUUGUAGAAUGGCGAGUAAUUGGACUGUUUGUGGUGUAUGUAAUUUCCGAAACAUCAACAAAGCAUCAGUAGUGUGGUGUUCAGAAUGUGACGAGGGACUUUGUGGCGAGUGUAGAGAGCACCAUGGUGCAUCAAAAUCAACUAGGAACCAUGACACUAUUUCAAUUACAGAAUAUCAGAAGCUACCAACAAAUGUGUUAGAGAUAACACAAACAUGUCAAAAACACAAAGAACACUAUCAAACAUUCUGUAAGAAACAUGAUUGCCCGUGCUGUAGGAGGUGUGUUAUUGAGACACAUAAUGAUUGUAAUGAUUUGACAGCAAUAGAGGACAUCGUCAAAAAUGUCAAGUCAUCGAAUGCGUGGUUAGAGGUAGAGCAAAUAUUGGUCCAAAUGUUGAAAAAUGUACAAAGAAUUCGUAACGAUCGCACAGAAAAUUUAAAAUGUCUACAGGAUCAGAGGGUAGAGAUUGAACGUGAUAUAAACCAAACCCGGAAAAUGAUCAACGACCACUUAGACAAAAUACAGGACAAAAUAAUUAAAGAAUUAUAUGCUAAUGAAGAAAAUGAAAGUAAGAGAAUAAAGCUGUUGUUGUGUGAGAUUGAAGACAUUGAAAAGGGAAUUUCUGACCUCCAAGGUAACCAAAAUAACAUAAGGCAACAUGCAUCAGAACUUCAAACAUUUUUAGCAUUAAAGCACAUUGAAAAAGAGGUUUCUGAUAAAGCAGAAUGUAUUCAGUCCGUCCUUAAGAACGAGGACAUGAAGAUAAAAACACUGGCUUUGGAGGUUAACAAAGACGUACAAAACAUUUGCAGGGCUGAUUGUUUUGGGUCCGUUAGUGUUGAGU
Molecule: long non-coding RNA, 4590 nt
Filed under: Mytilus galloprovincialis (Mediterranean mussel)
Lineage: Eukaryota; Metazoa; Mollusca; Bivalvia; Mytilida; Mytilidae
Source: RNAcentral